This 601-nucleotide ribosomal RNA is filed under the name Trichalus sp. BM0174. Its description in RNAcentral is "partial 16S ribosomal RNA". It matches the Rfam family "Bacterial large subunit ribosomal RNA", at positions 1816 to 2713 of the family's 2925-position model. Lineage: Eukaryota; Metazoa; Arthropoda; Insecta; Coleoptera; Lycidae. The record is from RNAcentral.
CAUGUCCUUUUGAAUUUAAUUUAAGGUCUAAUCUGCUCAAUGAUUUUUAAAUAGCCGCAGUAUUUUAACUGUGCAAAGGUAGCAUAAUAAUUAGUUUCUUAAUUAGGAACUGGAAUGAAUGAUUGGACAAGAAAGUUACUGUCUCUUUUUUAAAUUUUUUGAAUUUUAUUUUUAAGUGAAAAAGCUUAAAUUUUUAUAAAAGACGAGAAGACCCUAUAGAGUUUAAUAUUAUUAUUCAAUUUAAAUUUAGAAUUAUUUUUUGUUUAAUUUUAUUUGGUUGGGGUGAUUUAAAGAUUAAUUAAAUUCUUUAAUUAUUUAAUUGGUGAUGUCUAAAUUUUAAAUCUAUAUUUUAUAAAUAUAAAAUAAAUUACCUUAGGGAUAACAGCGUAAUUUUUCUUUAAAGUUCAUAUUAAAAGGAAAGUUUGCGACCUCGAUGUUGGAUUAAAAUUAAUUUUUGGUGCAAUAACUUAAAAAUUGGGUCUGUUCGACCUUUAAAAUUUUACAUGAUCUGAGUUUAAACCGGUGUGAGCCAGGUUGGAUUCUAUCUUUAGAAUGUUAAUAUAUUUUAGUACGAAAGGACCAGAUAUAUAUUAAAUUAAUU